RNAcentral lists this ribosomal RNA (556 nucleotides) under uncultured Alphaproteobacteria bacterium. Its description in RNAcentral is "bacterial SSU rRNA". It matches the Rfam family "Bacterial small subunit ribosomal RNA", at positions 8 to 611 of the family's 1533-position model. The record is from RNAcentral. Lineage: Bacteria; Pseudomonadati; Pseudomonadota; Alphaproteobacteria.
AGAGUUUGAUCAUGGCUCAGAACGAACGCUGGCGGCAGGCCUAACACAUGCAAGUCAAACGAAGCCUUCGGGUUUAGUGGCGGACGGGUGAGUAACGCGUGGGAACGUGCCCUUCUCUACGGAAUAGUCCUGGGAAACUGGGUUUAAUACCGUAUACGCCCUUCGGGGGAAAGAAUUUCGGGGAAGGAUCGGCCCGCGUUGGAUUAGGUAGUUGGUGGGGUAAUGGCCCACCAAGCCGACGAUCCAUAGCUGGUUUGAGAGGAUGAUCAGCCACACUGGGACUGAGACACGGCCCAGACUCCUACGGGAGGCAGCAGUGGGGAAUCUUAGACAAUGGGGGCAACCCUGAUCUAGCCAUGCCGCGUGAGUGACGAAGGCCCUAGGGUCGUAAAGCUCUUUCGCCAGGGAUGAUAAUGACAGUACCUGGUAAAGAAACCCCGGCUAACUCCGUGCCAGCAGCCGCGGUAAUACGGAGGGGGUUAGCGUUGUUCGGAAUUACUGGGCGUAAAGCGCGCGUAGGCGGACUAUUAAGUCAGAAGUGAAAUCCCGGGGCUCA